AGGAGGCAUGUAUUAUCAUGGCUAUCACACUCCUUCAUAAAGCAACAAUAGAUCUCCUUCCAGAAACAUCAUUUUCAAAAGGAGCAGGUACCCAGCUGUAAACAUCAUGAAGGAUGUGACGGGAGGGCGGCUUCCCUCCUUUAGGAGCUGUAUAUACAUUAAUCACUGAAUCACCAAGCCAUGCUUAAUUGCAAGCUGUAUAUCACACAAAUCCAUGGAAUGCAGAAAAGGUAUUACACCACUAAUUACAGCCCACACCAGCACCCCCACCUGAGCUGCCUGAAAGAAAAACGGAACUGUCUCAGAUCUGCAGCCAUCCCAAGCUUCUGCCUCAUUGCCACUAAGUGAGUUCUUAUAUGUGGCUUCCUGUAACCGCCCCCCUUCCCUUCCUGGGGACAACAUGUUGAAAUCCAUUACUCCUUGAGAGUUUACAGAACUGUUUAAAUGAUAAAGAAAAAAAAAACCUGCAGUAUAUUUUGCUUUGACAAAAUUAUUGAUUUAAAUCCCAUACAAUAGCACAAUACUAUUUAAAGGUCAACCCAAGAAAAAUGAGUUUACACCCGAACAGAGCUGAGCUUAUCUGUCAUGAAAGUGUAAUGAUGUGUUUAUUCCCUCACUAGGGUGUAUAUAUUUUUCAGGAAGAUAUAACAGUCUACUUGCAGGUGAAAUCUGCUCUUAAAUGGGAAUUUCAGGAGAUAUUUACAUUUCAGAUGGUGAAGCUGAUAUCCAAAGCCCUGAGACCCAUUUCUGUACUUACUAGUCAGAUGAGUAUUUAUUUUCAUUGCCUAAAAAUUAUUCUUCUCACUCCCAGGUCAAAAACGAGACAUACACUUGAAAACUAUAACCACAACUCAUAGGGGAAUCUUUCAAGAAGGCUAAGGUUGCAAACAGAAUGCAAAGGUUGCCAUGAUAGCAGUCUCUUCUUAUGUUUUGGUUUCUCUCUCACAUUUCAAAAACACAACAAUAAAAUGUUCUAAGUUCA
Neofelis nebulosa (Clouded leopard) is the source of this 982-nucleotide long non-coding RNA. RefSeq lists it as uncharacterized. The transcript is spliced from 3 exons. NCBI's taxonomy places the organism in Eukaryota, Metazoa, Chordata, Mammalia, Carnivora, Felidae. The record is from RefSeq and is a predicted model, not a curated record.